ACAAACACCAGCUGGAAAAGGCAGCAACGUGGGGUCUCUCUCCCCCUCAGCCAAAGUGAACUGUGUCAGCAGGUGUCUCCCAGCUGCUGAGAAUGAGCCAAGGGACCAGGAUGGCCGCCUGGCUCCUGCAAGUGGAGAGGGUCUCGCUGGGGCCUGAACUGGCUGAGGUCUUGCAGCAGGAAGGGGACGCUGGGCACUUAGCCCCCUACAGGGAGCCCAGAGCCAGGACUGAGUGAAGUUGCCUUUGGAAGGAGGUGGAGGAGUGUAUUGAUCGGGAUCCAGCUGGACAGGUCCCUGUGAGCCGGCCUGGGUGAAGGUGUCUUUGGGAGGAGGCGGAGGAGUGUAUUGAUCGGCACCCAGCUGGACAGGUCCCUGUGAGCCGGCCUGGGUCCUUGGUGGGUGGGACAUGUCUACAAAUAGCUCGUCACGUCUCCAAUCCAGAAGUGCUGUGUCGUUUCAAAAAUGAGCGGAGCCAACGCAGCCACCAGCCUGGCCUUGGCUACCUGGGCAAGGCUGCCGGCUCGUGAAUAUUCACGGCUCCGAUGGCACCUCCGAGCCUCCUAACCAUCCGGAAUUAAAUCAACGAGCUUC
RNAcentral lists this non-coding RNA (591 nucleotides) under Pongo abelii (Sumatran orangutan). The record is from RNAcentral. Lineage: Eukaryota; Metazoa; Chordata; Mammalia; Primates; Hominidae.